GAUGAACGCUGGCGGCGUGCCUAAUACAUGCAAGUCGAGCGAACGGACGAGAAGCUUGCUUUUCUGAUGUUAGCGGCGGACGGGUGAGUAACACGUGGAUCACCUACCUAUAAGACUUGGAUAACUUCGGGAAACCGGAUCUAAUACCGGAUAAUAUUUUGAACCGCAUGGUUCAAAAGUGAAAGACGGUCUUGCUGUCACUUAUAGCUGGAUCCGCGCUGCAUUAGCUAGUUGGUAAGGUAACGGCUUACCAAGGCAACGAUGCAUAGCCGACCUGAGAGGGUGAUCGGCCACACUGGAACUGAGACACGGUCCAGACUCCUACGGGAGGCAGCAGUAGGGAAUCUUCCGCAAUGGGCGAAAGCCUGACGGAGCAACGCCGCGUGAGUGAUGAAGGUCUUCGGAUCGUAAAACUCUGUUAUUAGGGAAGAACAUAUGUGUAAGUAACUGUGCACAUCUUGACGGUACCUAAUCAGAAAGCCACGGCUAACUACGUG
This 497-nucleotide ribosomal RNA is filed under the name uncultured bacterium. Its description in RNAcentral is "partial 16S ribosomal RNA". It matches the Rfam family "Bacterial small subunit ribosomal RNA", at positions 28 to 507 of the family's 1533-position model. The record is from RNAcentral.